Molecule: ribosomal RNA, 105 nt
Filed under: Olea europaea subsp. europaea
Lineage: Eukaryota; Viridiplantae; Streptophyta; Magnoliopsida; Lamiales; Oleaceae
Description: PK-G12rRNA
Source: RNAcentral
UGUAAAGAUUUUCUUAAUUAAGCUAUGAAUGAUUCUCGAGUGAAAGAAAGAAGGAAACUUGGCUGUAAGAUUAUCAAUCAAGUAGAGAUGAAAGUCAACCUUAGU